This 253-nucleotide ribosomal RNA is filed under the name uncultured bacterium. Its description in RNAcentral is "partial 16S ribosomal RNA". It matches the Rfam family "Bacterial small subunit ribosomal RNA", at positions 524 to 776 of the family's 1533-position model. The record is from RNAcentral.
UACGUAGGCAGCAAGCGUUGUUCGGAAUUACUGGGCGUAAAGGGCUCGUAGGCGGCCAACUAAGUCGGAUGUGAAAUCCCCAGGCUUAACCUGGGAACUGCAUCCGAUACUGGAUGGCUUGAAUCCGGGAGAGGGAUGCAGAAUUCCAGGUGUAGCGGUGAAAUGCGUAGAUAUCUGGAGGAAUACCGGUGGCGAAGGCGGCAUCCUGGACCGGCAUUGACGCUGAGGAGCGAAAGCUAGGGGAGCAAACGGG